RNAcentral lists this long non-coding RNA (258 nucleotides) under Ananas comosus (pineapple). RNAcentral's name for it is "long non-coding RNA (ACOM_LNC026802)". The record is from RNAcentral. Lineage: Eukaryota; Viridiplantae; Streptophyta; Magnoliopsida; Poales; Bromeliaceae.
UUUCAAAAUGAGUUUUCGGAUGGGAACGUUUUAAACUAAUAGAUGUGGAUUUAUGAAGAAAACAUUGCAAUCUUGUGAUUGAAUAAAUGUGAAUGAAUUUAUGUGAUGUGGUGAAUGUAUAUGGUUGUUUAUAUACUGUGAUUGUAUCUUGUACUUGUGCGACGCCGUGCAAAUACAGGGGAGACUCUGUCCGUGUGAACAGUGGACUUCUUGUAUUUGUAGCGGAUCUGACAUCCCUUAGGGUCAAGGUUUUAAAAA